This 460-nucleotide ribosomal RNA is filed under the name uncultured bacterium. Its description in RNAcentral is "partial 16S ribosomal RNA". It matches the Rfam family "Bacterial small subunit ribosomal RNA", at positions 338 to 795 of the family's 1533-position model. The record is from RNAcentral.
CCUACGGGUGGCAGCAGUGAGGAAUAUUGGUCAAUGGGCGCGAGCCUGAACCAGCCAAGUAGCGUGAAGGAUGACUGCCCUACGGGUUGUAAACUUCUUUUAUAAAGGAAUAAAGUGAGGCACGUGUGCCUUUUUGUAUGUACUUUAUGAAUAAGGAUAGGCUAACUCCGUGCCAGCAGCCGCGGUAAUACGGAGGAUCCGAGCGUUAUCCGGUUUUAUUGGGUUUAAAGGGAGCGUAGAUGGGUUGUUAAGUCAGUUGUGAAAGUGUGCGGCUCAACCGUAAAAGUGCAAUUGAUACUGGCAGCCUUGAGGACAGUUGAGGUAGGCGGAAUUCGGGGUGUAGCGGUGAAAUGCUUAGAUAUCACGAAGAACUCCGAUUGCGAAGGCAGCUUACUAAACUGCCACUGACAUUGAUGCUCGAAAGUGUGGGUAUCAAACAGGAUUAGAUACCCGAGUAGUC